Long non-coding RNA from Sphaerodactylus townsendi, 398 nucleotides. RefSeq lists it as uncharacterized. NCBI's taxonomy places the organism in Eukaryota, Metazoa, Chordata, Lepidosauria, Squamata, Sphaerodactylidae. The record is from RefSeq and is a predicted model, not a curated record. The transcript has 3 exons.
GGAAUGGAUUUGGAUUCUCACCAGUAGAACUACAACCAAAACAUCUUGUUUGUGACUAAAAGUGUUUGGUGUUCUGUUCAUGGAUUCAGCAGAAAGAGAGACUAACGGCUGCAGUGUUCUUAAGAUGUGCCAGAGAUCUCAGAAGCAUUUUCCCCAGUGCACAGUGGAGUGCUCUAAGCCUGAUGGCUUUGGACCACCUACCUUAAGACCACCUUCUUCCAUAUGAACCUACCUGCUCGCUCCAGUCAUCUCAGAGGCUCUGGUUUGGUUGCCCGAGGCUGGGUAGAUGGCAACUAAAACAAAGGCCUUCUCCAUCAUGGCACCAAAAGUGUGGAACUUACUCUCCAGGAAGACUCGUCUGUCUCCAUCUAUCAGUGUCUUUCAGCAGUGGGUGAAUA